GGACAGAGUCAGGGCAGGGCCACACUCCCAGCUGGGGCAGCCCUGCCUCGCCCGUGGGGCGCAACAAACACAAACACAAACACGGCUGGUCCCCCCAGAUCCAGCUGCAGAAUGAACAGCAUUGGACUAAAGGACCCCUGCUGACAAUGGCAGCUUUAAGUGAUGAAACCAAAGCUUUUACAAGCAAAUGCUUCACGUGAUUUUGAGCAUUUACAGAGUAACCCCAGGAUUAAUCAUAACACGGGCAGGAGAUGCUGAACUUUCCUACAGCCACAAAGGGCAAACCCUGUUCAAGCCAGAAAUUCGCCUGUUGCCACCUGGACAUGGAUUUGUGGGCCACAAAAAGCGAAUUAAUCUCUCUGGGUUCGUUAGUGAUACUUUUUCUGCCAAAAAUCUGGGUUUAUGCCCAGAAAUGUUUGAAUGA
Molecule: long non-coding RNA, 424 nt
Organism: Melospiza melodia melodia
Lineage: Eukaryota; Metazoa; Chordata; Aves; Passeriformes; Passerellidae
Exons: 3
Source: RefSeq, a predicted model, not a curated record